RNAcentral lists this transfer RNA (38 nucleotides) under Meloidogyne hapla. Its description in RNAcentral is "partial tRNA-His". The record is from RNAcentral. Lineage: Eukaryota; Metazoa; Nematoda; Chromadorea; Rhabditida; Meloidogynidae.
UGAAUUUUUUAUUGUGAUUAAAAAAGUUAAUCAGCUAU